Molecule: ribosomal RNA, 426 nt
Filed under: uncultured bacterium
Lineage: Bacteria
Description: bacterial SSU rRNA
Rfam family: Bacterial small subunit ribosomal RNA
Source: RNAcentral
UGGGGAAUUUUGGACAAUGGGGGCAACCCUGAUCCAGCCAUGCCGCGUGCGGGAAGAAGGCCUUCGGGUUGUAAACCGCUUUUGUCCGGGAAGAAAAGACCACGGCUAAUACCUGUGGUUCUUGACGGUACUGGAAUCAUAAGCACCGGCUAACUACGUGCCAGCAGCCGCGGUAAUACGUCGGGUGCGAGCGUUAAUCGGAAUUACUGGGCGUAAAGCGUGCGCAGGCGGUUCGUUGUGUCUGCUGUGAAAUCCCCGGGCUCAACCUGGGAAUGGCAGUGGAAACUGGCGAGCUUGAGUGUGGCAGAGGGGGGUGGAAUUCCGCGUGUAGCAGUGAAAUGCGUAGAGAUGCGGAGGAACACCGAUGGCGAAGGCAACCCCCUGGGCUAACACUGACGCUCAGGCACGAAAGCGUGGGGAGCAAAC